CGCCGCGGUGAAUACGUUCCCGGGUCCUGUACACACCGCCCGUCAAGCCAUGGAAGUCGGUUCUGCCUUAAGCCCCCCUCAAAAGGGUCCACGGCAGGGUCGGUGACUGGGGCU
Molecule: ribosomal RNA, 114 nt
Filed under: uncultured bacterium
Lineage: Bacteria
Description: partial 16S ribosomal RNA
Rfam family: Bacterial small subunit ribosomal RNA
Source: RNAcentral